AUAUUUUUAGAUAUAUUGGUUGAGGUUGAGAGUUUAUGUUCACUUAUUUUAGUUUAAAAGACAUCUUUGUCAGACACUUGUCUCAGAAAGCCAUAGCUAUUCAAAGGCGUCUAAAUUUUAUUACGCCUAAUACAGGUCUUUAAACGUUUUUAAAAAACGCUGAGAAGAGAAAUGUUUUUUUUUUAAUAUUGUUACUCUGUAGAAGUUACUGAUAUACCUGUUACUUCAAUGAAGUUUUCAUUCUAUUUAUAAAAUAUUUUAUUUUUUCUUCAAACCUAAUAUUUGUUUAACUUUCUACAGAGAAGGCAGAGACACCAACAAAAAGCUUUGAAGUUAAUGAUAGUGAAGAGGAGGCAGAUAAUUAUAAAAAUCUUUGCAGCUAAAGACAGUGAAGAAUCGAGUCGAAGUACUGUAGCCAGCUGGGCUACGCUCACUGGAUGAAUUGCAAAUUAAAACUGAUUUAAUACAAAGACGGCAU
Hydra vulgaris (swiftwater hydra) is the source of this 478-nucleotide non-coding RNA. The record is from RefSeq and is a predicted model, not a curated record. Lineage: Eukaryota; Metazoa; Cnidaria; Hydrozoa; Anthoathecata; Hydridae.